This 539-nucleotide ribosomal RNA is filed under the name uncultured bacterium. RNAcentral's name for it is "partial 16S ribosomal RNA". It matches the Rfam family "Bacterial small subunit ribosomal RNA", at positions 355 to 909 of the family's 1533-position model. The record is from RNAcentral.
UGGGGAAUAUUGCACAAUGGGCGAAAGCCUGAUGCAGCAACGCCGCGUGAGUGAUGAAGGCCUUCGGGUUGUAAAGCUCUGUCUUUUGGGACGAUAAUGGACGGUACCAAAGGAGGAAGCCACGGCUAACUACGUGCCAGCAGCCGCGGUAAUACGUAGGUGGCAAGCGUUGUCCGGAUUUACUGGGCGUAAAGGAUGCGUAGGCGGAUUUUUAAGUGAGAUGUGAAAACCCCUAAGCUUAACUUGGGGACUGCAUUUCAUACUGGAAAUCUAGAGUGCGGGAGAGGAGAAUGGAAUUCCUAGUGUAGCGGUGAAAUGCGUAGAGAUUAGGAAGAACACCAGUGGCGAAGGCGAUUCUCUGGACCGUAACUGACGCUGAGGCAUGAAAGCGUGGGUAGCAAACAGGAUUAGAUACCCUGGUAGUCCACGCCGUAAACGAUGAGUACUAGUGUAGGAGGUAUCGACCCCUUCUGUGCCGCAGUUAACACAAUAAGUACUCCGCCUGGGAAGUACGAUCGCAAGAUUAAAACUCAAAUGAA